UCGAACGCGUCUUGGUUAUUGAUUUUAGGUGCUUGCACUUGAAUGAUUUAACAUUGAGACGAGUGGCGAACUGGUGAGUAACACGUGGGUAACCUGCCCUUGAAGUAGGGGAUAACACUUGGAAACAGGUGCUAAUACCGUAUAACAACCAAAACCCCCUGGUUUUGGUUUAAAAGAUGGCUUCGGCUAUCACUUUAGGAUGGACCCGCGGCGUAUUAGCUUGUUGGUAAGGUAACGGCCUACCAAGGCAAUGAUACGUAGCCGACCUGAGAGGGUAAUCGGCCACAUUGGGACUGAGACACGGCCCAAACUCCUACGGGAGGCAGCAGUAGGGAAUCUUCCACAAUGGACGAAAGUCUGAUGGAGCAACGCCGCGUGAGUGAUGAAGGGUUUCGGCUCGUAAAACUCUGUUGUUGGAGAAGAACAGGUGUCAGAGUAACUGUUGACAUCAUGACGGUAUCCAACCAGAAAGCCACGGCUAACUACGUGCCAGCAGCCGCGGUAAUACGUAGGUGGCAAGCGUUGUCCGGAUUUAUUGGGCGUAAAGCGAGCGCAGGCGGUUUCUUAGGUCUGAUGUGAAAGCCUUCGGCUUAACCGGAGAAGUGCAUCGGAAACCAGGAGACUUGAGUGCAGAAGAGGACAGUGGAACUCCAUGUGUAGCGGUGAAAUGCGUAGAUAUAUGGAAGAACACCAGUGGCGAAGGCGGCUGUCUGGUCUGUAACUGACGCUGAGGCUCGAAAGCAUGGGUAGCGAACAGGAUUAGAUACCCUGGUAGUCCAUGCCGUAAACGAUGAGUGCUAAGUGUUGGAGGGUUUCCGCCCUUCAGUGCUGCAGCUAACGCAUUAAGCACUCCGCCUGGGGAGUACGACCGCAAGGUUGAAACUCAAAGGAAUUGACGGGGGCCCGCACAAGCGGUGGAGCAUGUGGUUUAAUUCGAUGCUACGCGAAGAACCUUACCAGGUCUUGACAUCUUCUGCCAACCUAAGAGAUUAGGCGUUCCCUUCGGGGACAGAAUGACAGGUGGUGCAUGGUUGUCGUCAGCUCGUGUCGUGAGAUGUUGGGUUAAGUCCCGCAACGAGCGCAACCCUU
RNAcentral lists this ribosomal RNA (1089 nucleotides) under Lentilactobacillus otakiensis. RNAcentral's name for it is "bacterial SSU rRNA". It matches the Rfam family "Bacterial small subunit ribosomal RNA", at positions 29 to 1106 of the family's 1533-position model. The record is from RNAcentral. Lineage: Bacteria; Bacillati; Bacillota; Bacilli; Lactobacillales; Lactobacillaceae.